Molecule: ribosomal RNA, 419 nt
Filed under: Salmonella enterica
Lineage: Bacteria; Pseudomonadati; Pseudomonadota; Gammaproteobacteria; Enterobacterales; Enterobacteriaceae
Description: bacterial SSU rRNA
Source: RNAcentral
UAAGUAGACCGCCUGGGGAGUACGGCCGCAAGGUUAAAACUCAAAUGAAUUGACGGGGGCCCGCACAAGCGGUGGAGCAUGUGGUUUAAUUCGAUGCAACGCGAAGAACCUUACCUGGUCUUGACAUCCACAGAAUUCUGCAGAGAUGCGGAAGUGCCUUCGGGAACUGUGAGACAGGUGCUGCAUGGCUGUCGUCAGCUCGUGUUGUGAAAUGUUGGGUUAAGUCCCGCAACGAGCGCAACCCUUAUCCUUUGUUGCCAGCGGUYMGGCCGGGAACUCAAAGGAGACUGCCAGUGAUAAACUGGAGGAAGGUGGGGAUGACGUCAAGUCAUCAUGGCCCUUACGACCAGGGCUACACACGUGCUACAAUGGCGCAUACAAAGAGAAGCGACCUCGCGAGAGCAAGCGGACCUCAUAAA